ACCUAUCUCUCCAACACCGCCGGGAACAACACCUACAUCUCCAGAACCACCGGCAUUGCCACCUAGCACUCCUUCACCUCCGGGAACGACACCUAUCUCUCCAUCACCACCGGGAACGACACCUUCCAUUCCACCACCAACACACUCUUCUCCGCCGGGAACACCCAACUCUCCAUCACCACCGGGAAUGACACCUUCCUCUCCACCACCAACGCACUCUUCUCCACCGGGAUAUACACCAUCUCCAAUAACUCCUGUGGUGUCGCCACCAUCUCCUGCUCCUCAUUAUGGAUCAUCCCCACCCCCUCAUUCCCCUUUUUUUUCACCACCACCGGGAACGUCCCCUUCCUCUCCACCAACGCCGGGAACGGUGCCUUCCUUUCCACCACCAACACACUCUUCUCCGCCUGCGCAUCCAACACCUCCAUCUACAACUCCAACACCUCCUGUUGUAUCGCCACCCUCACAUACUCCAAUGCCACCGUCUCAUUCACUAUAUCCACCCCCACCGACAGGUCCUCAUUAUGGCCGCCAAUCAC
RNAcentral lists this long non-coding RNA (539 nucleotides) under Medicago truncatula (barrel medic). RNAcentral's name for it is "long non-coding RNA (MTRU_LNC006713)". Lineage: Eukaryota; Viridiplantae; Streptophyta; Magnoliopsida; Fabales; Fabaceae. The record is from RNAcentral.